UUGGAGGGCAAGUCUGGUGCCAGCAGCCGCGGUAAUUCCAGCUCCAAUAGCGUAUAUUAAAGUUGUUGCAGUUAAAAAGCUCGUAGUUGAACUUCGAGAUCAGUACGCUGGUCGUGCCUUCGGUAUGCACUGGUGUCACUGGUUUCUCCCUUCUGAAGAACCGUCAUGCCAUUCAGUUGGUGUGGCGGGGAAUCAGGACUGUUACUUUGAAAAAAUUAGAGUGUUUAAAGCAGGC
RNAcentral lists this ribosomal RNA (235 nucleotides) under uncultured fungus. Its description in RNAcentral is "partial 18S ribosomal RNA". It matches the Rfam family "Eukaryotic small subunit ribosomal RNA", at positions 548 to 785 of the family's 1831-position model. The record is from RNAcentral. Lineage: Eukaryota; Fungi.